ACAGAGGUGGCGAGCGUUGUUCGGAUUUACUGGGCGUAAAGGGCGCGUAGGCUGCGAUGUGUGUCGGGUGUGAAAUCCCAGGGCCCAACCCUGGAAGUGCGCCCGAAACUGCAUCGCUCGAGUGCGGGAGGGGAGAUCGGAAUACAUGGUGUAGCGGUGAAAUGCGUUGAUAUCAUGUAGAACACCGGUGGCGAAGGCGGAUCUCUGGAACGCAACUGACGCUGAGGCGCGAAAGUCGGGGGAGCAAACAG
This 251-nucleotide ribosomal RNA is filed under the name uncultured prokaryote. RNAcentral's name for it is "partial 16S rRNA". It matches the Rfam family "Bacterial small subunit ribosomal RNA", at positions 525 to 775 of the family's 1533-position model. The record is from RNAcentral.